UGGCUAAGGAGUAAAAGAAAAUGAUUGGUAGGUUCAUCCAACGUGAUAGUAUCUAACUCUCUAGUCAUGCAAGACAUUAGUAAGGACUUAGAAGAAGAUUGCCCAAGAAUAAAAGAUCAACUCAGGUAACUACCUUGCUGCAAGUCGAAUCAUCACAAGAGCUUAAUUGCUCGGCCUUCAAAGCAAUCGAUUGAAUAUUGUUAUGAAAUAGCU
RNAcentral lists this long non-coding RNA (213 nucleotides) under Elaeis guineensis (African oil palm). RNAcentral's name for it is "long non-coding RNA (EGUI_LNC029393)". The record is from RNAcentral. Lineage: Eukaryota; Viridiplantae; Streptophyta; Magnoliopsida; Arecales; Arecaceae.